UACGGGGGGAGCGAGCGUUAUUCGGAUUCAUUGGGCGUAAAGCGUUCGUAGGCGGAUUGGUAAGUCUCCUUUUAAAGCCCAAGGCUUAACUUUGGAAAUGGGGGAGAUACUGGCAAUCUUGAGGGUAGAAGGGGGUGCUGGAACUUGCAGUGUAGGGGUGAAAUCCGUUGAUAUUGCAAGGAACGCCAAGGGCGAAGGCAGGCACCUGGGAUACUUCUGACGCUAAGGAACGAAAGCUAGGGGAGCAAAAGGGAUUAGAUACCCGCGUA
This 269-nucleotide ribosomal RNA is filed under the name uncultured prokaryote. Its description in RNAcentral is "partial 16S ribosomal RNA". It matches the Rfam family "Bacterial small subunit ribosomal RNA", at positions 524 to 792 of the family's 1533-position model. The record is from RNAcentral.